GCAAGUCGAACGGGAGCUUCGGCUCCAGUGGCGGACGGGUGAGUAACGCGUGAGAAUCUACCUUCAGGAUGGGGACAACCGUUGGAAACGACGGCUAAUUCCCAAUGUGCCGAGAGGUAAAAGGUUUCGACCGCCUGAAGAGGAGCUCGCGUCCGAUUAGUUUGUUGGUGGGGUAAGAGCUCACCAAGGCAGCGAUCGGUAGCUGGUCUGAGAGGAUGAGCAGCCACACUGGGACUGAGACACGGCCCAGACUCCUACGGGAGGCAGCAGUGGGGAAUUUUCCGCAAUGGGCGAAAGCCUGACGGAGCAACGCCGCGUGUGGGAAGAAGGCUCUUGGGCUGUCAACCACUUUUCUCAGGGAAGAAGUUCUGACGGUACCUGAGGAAUCAGCCUCGGCUAACUCCGUGCCAGCAGCCGCGGUAAUACGGAGGAGGCAAGCGUUAUCCGGAAUUAUUGGGCGUAAAGCGUCCGCAGGGGGCUCAUCAAGUCUGCUGUUAAAGGUCGGAGCUUAACUCCGAUACAGCAGUGGAAACUGAUGGGCUAGAGGGCGACAGGGGUAGAGGGAAUUCCCAGUGUAGCGGUGAAAUGCGUAGAGAUUGGGAAGAACACCGGUGGCGAAAGCGCUCUACUGGGUCGCACCUGACCCUCANGGACGAAAGCUAGGGGAGCGAAAGGGAUUAGAUACCCCUGUAGUCUUAGCUGUAAACGAUGGAUACUAGGCCGUGGUUUGUAUCGACCCAAGC
RNAcentral lists this ribosomal RNA (743 nucleotides) under uncultured bacterium. Its description in RNAcentral is "bacterial SSU rRNA". It matches the Rfam family "Bacterial small subunit ribosomal RNA", at positions 57 to 840 of the family's 1533-position model. The record is from RNAcentral.